This 3252-nucleotide long non-coding RNA is filed under the name Homo sapiens (human). Lineage: Eukaryota; Metazoa; Chordata; Mammalia; Primates; Hominidae. The record is from RNAcentral.
CUCCCAAAGUGCUGGGAUUACAGGCGUGAGCCACCGCGCCCGGCCAUAAAUCAUUCUGUUAAUAAAGGAGUAUGACCCUAAGAUCACCUCAAUAGGUGCUAAUAAGGUGUUUAAUAAAAGUUAAAACUCAUGUUCUAGAAACAAAAACAAUGAAGAGAAACUAAUAAUAGCUUCUGGCCAGGCACAGUGGCUCAUGCCUGUAAUCCCAGCACUUUGGGAGGCCGAGGUAGGUGGAUAACCUGAGGUCAGGAGUUCAAGACCAGCUUGGCCAACGUGGCAAAACCCUAUCUCUACUAAAAAUACAAAAAAAUUAGCCGAGCAUGGUGGCGCACGCCUGUAGUCCCAGCUACUCGGGAGGCUGAGGCAUGAGAAUUGCUUGAACCCAGGCAACAGAAGGUUGUAGUGAGCUGAGAUUGUGCCACUGCACUCCAGCCUGGGUGAUUGAGUGAGACUCUGUCAAAAAAGAAAAAAGAAAGAAAGGAAGAGAGAAAGAGAGAAGGAAAGGAAGGAAGGAAGGAAGGGAGGGAGGGAGGGAGGAAGGAGAAAGAAAGAAAGAGAAAGAAAGAAAGAGAAAGAAAGAAAGGGAAAACUUCUUUAACGCGAUAAAGAUUAUCCAUCAGAAACCAAGAGUGUUGGUAUCCAAGAAAAUGUUAAAAUUUUUUUUUAAUUAAAGAAAAAGAAACCAAGACCAAAUAUCAUAGGGAAUGGUGAAACACGCGUUUUAAUGACAAGUGCCUGCUAACAUCUAUGACUCAGCAUUGUACUGCAGUAUCAUUCUGGAAUCACCACUGGGUCUCUACAGGGGAGGUACAUACACCCUUAGAGAUGUAUACAUAUAUACCUUCUAGGAAAUGUAUUGGAAGAAUGUGGGAGCAUAUUUAGUUAUCAUAAUGAUCAGGGAGUUGAUAUUUUACAUAUGAAUUCAAGGAUUAAGUCCUUUGCAAGGAUUUAAUAAUACACUGAAAAAAUUCCAAGAAUGAAACUAGCACAUAGUGUGAGGGAAUAUCGUACUUUGCUUUUUCCAAACUGUAUCAAAAGUUGUUGAGCAUUUGGAAAAAUCUUGUACCUGUAGCACCAUGGUAGAUAUUUGAGUAGCCUAGUAUCAGUCUAAAUGUGUGUUGUCACAUUCCCAGUGGUAAUGGACAUAGAUAGAAGUAUCUCUGACAGCUUCAUUAUGGCUGUUAGUAUAUUUCCGUCCCUAACAUUUACAUAUUGAAGUAAUACUAUCUUAUUAUAGAAUUCUUUUCCUUAGGUUCUCCUUAAGUCCUUAUUACCUUAUAGCAUAAUACUUAUGGUUUAGAAAUUAUGAGAUUAAGUGGCUUAUAUUGCCUACAAAUUUCAUUUUAGAUUAUUAAAAGUAUUGUUACAUAUUCUUUGUUAUAAAUGUGAUAGAAUUAAGAACCACUGUUCUAGGCUGGGUGCGGUAGCUCACACCUGCAAUCCCAGCACUUUGGGAGGCUGAGGCAGGCAAAUCACUUGAGGUCAGGAGUUUGAGACCAGCCUGGUCAGCAUAGUGAAACCCUGUCUCUACUAAAAAUACAAAAAAUUAGCCAGGUGUGGUGGCGUGCGCCUGUAAUCCCAGCUACUUGGAAGACUGAGGCAGGAGAAUUACUGGAACCUAGGAAGUUUAGGUUGCAGUGAGCUGAGAUCGCCCCACUGCACUCCAGCCUGGGCGACAAGAGUGAGACUCUGUGAAAGGAGAGGAGAGGAGAAGGGAGGGGAGGGGGAAAGAAACAACGUUCUAGUGCUAUAAGCAAAGUAACUGAGGUAAAAUACAGGAAGGAAAAAAUAGAAGCUGUUUGUCAGAGAUAUAAUUGUAUUAGAAAAGUCAAGAGAGGCAACUAAAAACCAUUAGAAUUGGUAAGAGAGGUCACUAUGGUAGCAAUAUUGGAUAAAUGUAAAAGGUAUGAUUGACAAUGAUACAAACAGGCACUUGUUUUAUUUUUCUUUAUAAAUAUCAACUUUCCUUUGCAAACUGAACUCCUAACUCUAACCCUAUGCUAGCAAGGGUGGGUGGAGGAUGGUGAGGAAGACUAAGCGUUGCCCAGGAAUGUCUCUUCUGCUACAUGUAAUGAUUUUGUUCAGCAUGGUGGUGAUUACCUAUAGAGGUGCAGAGGGGAUGGUGAAGGGGAGAGCAAGGGCCACAGUCUCCCUGUUACACUCUCUCCUCUGUUCGGUGGGUCAAAGCUCUCAGCAGGAGACUAGACCAAAAUAAUGUAUGGUCUGCAGGCUAGGCUGUGCCCCUGGGCUAUGAUCUUUCCUCCACUGGGUUCCUUUCCAUUUUCAUUAAAGAAGAGAGAAAGACAGAGAAGGGAAGGAGGAAAAGAGAAAGUAAUUUUUUAAGAAAGUAAAGAAGGAAUAGUGAAAACAAGCAGAAAAAGAGGGGUACAUAUGUGCAUCCUGGGAACAAAGAAGGAUAUGCUCCCAAAUAUUAAAGUACUUGACUGACUUAGGGAAGGAGAUGUUGAGGGGCAGUAUAGAUGACUCUUACUUUAUGCAAUCCUGUGUUUAAAAAUUUUUACAACAUGGUCUAGCAAUUCCACUCUUAGGAGUAUAGCUAAGGGAAAUGGAAACCUAUGUUCACACAAAAAUGUAUACAUUAAUAUUCACAGAAGCAUUAUUCUUAAUAGCCAAAAAGUGAAAAUAACCCAAAUAGCCAUCAACUGAUGAAUGAAUAAAUAAAAUGUAGUACUUCCAUAUGACAGAAUAUUAUUUGGCAAUAAAAAGAAAUGAUGCCCAGACACUGUGGCUCACACCUGUAAUCCCAGCACUUUGGGAGGCCAAAGUGGGAGGAUCGCUUGAAGCCGGGAGUUCAAGACCAGCCUGGACAACAUAGCAAGAUUUCAUUUCUAUCUUUUCUUUAAAAAAUGAAAUACUAACACAUGCUGAACUGAACAUGGAUGAACCUUGCAAACAUUAUGCUAGGUGAAAGAAGCUAGUCACAAAGGACCACAAUUUAUGAAUCCGUUUUUAUGAAAUGUCCAAAAUAGGCAAAUCUAUGGACAGAAAGUAGAAAGCAGAUUCGUGGUUGCCCAAGACCAAGGAAAUGAGGGCAUUAGGGGAUGAUGGCUAAAGGGUGCAAAGGUUCUUUUUGGGGUAAUGAGAAUAUUCUGGAACUUAUUGUGGUGACGAUUACACAUCUCUGUGAAUAUACUAAAAGCUAUUGAAUUAUACACUUUAAAUGGGUCAGUUGUAUGCUAUGUGAAUCAUAUCUCAAUAAUAAAGUCAUUAACAAAAACUUUGUGAAGAGCA